The sequence is a ribosomal RNA, 628 nucleotides long. The stretch from base 222 to 375 matches the Rfam family "5.8S ribosomal RNA".
UCCGUAGGUGAACCUGCGGAAGGAUCAUUAACGAGUUUUGAAACGGGUUGUUGCUGGCCUUCCGAGGCAUGUGCACGCCCUGCUCAUCCACUCUACACCUGUGCACUUACUGUAGGUUGGCGUGGGUUUCUAGCCUCCGGGUUGGAAGCAUUCUGCCGGCCUAUGUACACUACAAACUCUUAAAGUAUCAGAAUGUAAACGCGUCUAACGCAUCUUAAUACGACUUUCAGCAACGGAUCUCUUGGCUCUCGCAUCGAUGAAGAACGCAGCGAAAUGCGAUAAGUAAUGUGAAUUGCAGAAUUCAGUGAAUCAUCGAAUCUUUGAACGCACCUUGCGCUCCUUGGUAUUCCGAGGAGCAUGCCUGUUUGAGUGUCAUGAAAUUCUCAACCCAUAAAUCCUUGUGAUCUAUGGGCUUGGAUUUGGAGGCUUGCUGGCCCUAGCGGUCGGCUCCUCUUGAAUGCAUUAGCUUGAUUCCGUGCGGAUCGGCUCUCAGUGUGAUAAUUGUCUACGCUGUGACCGUGAAGCGUUUUGGCAAGCUUCUAACCGUCCAUUAGGACAAUUUUAUAACAUCUGACCUCAAAUCAGGUAGGACUACCCGCUGAACUUAAGCAUAUCAAUAAGCGGAGGA